Long non-coding RNA from Malus domestica (apple), 771 nucleotides. RefSeq lists it as uncharacterized. Lineage: Eukaryota; Viridiplantae; Streptophyta; Magnoliopsida; Rosales; Rosaceae. The record is from RefSeq and is a predicted model, not a curated record.
CAUUUCAUUCAUUCAAACUUUCUCAUUUAUUGCAGAAAGGAAGAAAGGCUCUAUUACAAGUUUAAAAUGGUUGAAUUGUUUUCCUUGUUUAACAAUUCAAGUCAUCAAGCUACAAUUGAUACAAAAGAAAAAAAUUUGGGAGCUGUUGUUAGUGGCCAAGGUGUUAGUAUCCGCAGUCCUAUUUUUAUUAACAAAGAUAGGACGAGUGGUCUUACAUUGCACUGUACGUUCCAGGGUGCAGCUAGAGAGAUUAUUAUGUGGGAUUGGGAUUGGAAUUUAAAUUUCGUAGAUAAAGCUUCAGGUCGGAAGUAUCAAUUCAAGAUAAAACAUACCGAUGGUGUUAUUAGAUUGUAUCUAUCAGACACUGGUAUUGCAGUGUUGGCUGAUGAUGAGGAGGAGAGCAUAGGAAUGUAUCCAACAGAAAAACACUAUCCAUUUUAUAAGAUGUCUUUCGAUCAGGACGGUCAAUGGGUAGUUAUUCCGUCACCAUGAAGAAAAAGAUAAUAGUAGGUGGUGCCUGUGGAGGGGAUGAUCGGCGGUGGACGGAGGAUUGGGUGGCUGGCUAAUUCUCGUAUCGGCGGUGGAGAACACAAUGGAUGGUUCUCGGUUGUUCGUUUUUGUUUGGGCUUCACUGUUGUUGGGCUCAUUUUCUGUGUUUUCAUUGUUUUUAGGCCCGAUCUUUGUUUGUUUCUAGGAAUAAAUUGAGCCUUUGUUUGAUUUGUAAGUGUGUGUUUGUUUUAAUAAAAGUUCCUGGUUGACGAUUCUUUUGGA